AAAGACUCAAUUCUUGGGUUUCCGUGUCCAACGUUUGAACGUCCGUCUUAUAUAAAAUUUUUAUGAUUAGUAUUUUUAUUACUGUUAGAUGAUAAAACAUGAAUAAUACUUUAUAUAUGACUUAUCUUUUAAAAUUUUUUCAUAUUUUUUUUAAAUAAAACGGACAAUCAAACGUUAGACAUGAAAACCUAGGAAUUAAG
Molecule: microRNA precursor, 200 nt
Filed under: Oryza nivara
Lineage: Eukaryota; Viridiplantae; Streptophyta; Magnoliopsida; Poales; Poaceae
Description: MIR812 microRNA precursor family
Rfam family: MIR812 microRNA precursor family
Source: Rfam by way of RNAcentral